CCUACGGGAGACAGCAGUGAGGAAUAUUGGUCAAUGGACGAGAGUCUGAACCAGCCAAGUAGCGUGAAGGAUGACUGCCCUAUGGGUUGUAAACUUCUUUUAUAUGGGAAUAAAAUGUUCCACGUGUGGGAUUUUGUAUGUACCAUAUGAAUAAGGAUCGGCUAACUCCGUGCCAGCAGCCGCGGUAAUACGGAGGAUCCGAGCGUUAUCCGGAUUUAUUGGGUUUAAGGGGAGCGUAGGUGGAUUGUUAAGUCAGUUGUGAAAGUUUGCGGCUCAACCGUAAAAUUGCAGUUGAAACUGGCAGUCUUGAGUACAGUAGAGGCGGGCGGAAUUCGUGGUGUAGCGGUGAAAUGCUUAGAUAUCACGAAGAACUCCGAUUGCGAAGGCAGUUCACUGGACUGCAACUGACACUGAGGCUCGAAAGUGUGGGUAUCAAACAGGAUUAGAUACCCGUGUAGUC
RNAcentral lists this ribosomal RNA (460 nucleotides) under uncultured bacterium. RNAcentral describes it as "partial 16S ribosomal RNA". It matches the Rfam family "Bacterial small subunit ribosomal RNA", at positions 338 to 795 of the family's 1533-position model. The record is from RNAcentral.